ACUGCUCAGCAGAAGAAAUCUCCAAUCACUCUUGUAAAUCCCUGCCUCCCCUUGAGGCUAUAAAAGGGGAGCCAGGGCUCACAACCAAGACAGGUUGAUCCACAUAGCACAAGUUCAAUCACACAAACACCACAACUCCAAGCGAGUCUUCACGCAGGGUAGCUAGCAGCGCUCUGUCCACAUCACAAAGCCGAGACCUAGGACUUAGCCCUCUCUCGCAACCUGCUUGUAUUCCCCUACUACAAGCACCUUUGGGUGCAAGGCAAUACAGACCUCCGAUCUCACUGGACAUAGGGCAUCCUUAGCACGAACCAGUAUAAAUCCUCUGUGUUCCACUUGCAUCACCAUCCAGGCUUAGGCAGUCACGCAUUCUCAUACUUAUUUGUGUCUAGACCACGUGUCCAGACACCGACAAGAUUAAUAAAGAGUAUUAUUAUUAUUAUUAUUAUUAUUAUUAUUAUUAUUAUUAUUAUUAUUAUUAUUAUUAUUAUUAUUAUUAUUUCUUGUGUGUCUCUACUUUAUUUUUGUGCAAGAAAACAGAAAACAAGUAUGGUGGAGAUCCCUCGACACGCCAAACACAUUUCAACUACACCACUCCACGAUUCAGGUACAUACUCUGCACACUUUACUAUUACACAUACAUAUAUCUUGGAUUAUGUAGAAUAUUGUUUCCGACAUGAUAAAUUAAAAAGAUUAAAAUGCUUCUAAUCAUGAUCAAUCUCACUCUGUGAUAUUUCCUGAAACCUUACAAAAUCAUUCUAAAACCCUAUGUUACUUAAGUCAUUAUGGAAUGAUAGAGUGUGAGUACCUUAUUCUUGAUAUCAUUGUUGCUUGGAGAAUUUAUUUCAAAAUCUUCAAAAAAAUUCUAGCUACCAUCCUCAGUGUUUUAUAUGCCUGAUAAACCUGAAAAUAUUAACAUGAUAAUUAGAAAAGCUAUCUGCUAUGUAUUGAGUUUGUUCAAAUUGAGUUAGACCCUUGUUGAGAGAUUUAUCAUGCUCCUAAGAUCAAGACAUUUAUUCAGAAAGAUUCACUCUUCCGAAGUAUUAUUGCAUUAAAGGCAUGGGCUAUGCAAAAAAAAAUAAGGAUAUUUCGAGGAAAUAAAAAGGAGCAAGUGCUCGACAACCUCGCAGAGAAAAAAAUGGACAAGUGUCGGGCAGUAGAAUUAGGGGUACCUUGGUAUCCACUUAAAAAAAGAGAAAAGAAAGAAAAUGAUAGCCCAUGGUCCCUCUAAUAAGAAAUAUGCCAGUUUUUAAUUUUCAAAGUCUUUGAUCUAAGAGUAUGACAUUCCCCUCCUCGGAUCCUGUUUUGAUCAGGCAAUAAAUGCAAAGUAAGUAUGCUUGAGAAUUCUUUGCUUAUUAAAACAGCCUCAGUGAGAUAUACAAAAGAUAAUGAGUGAUCUGAGAGAACCUAUGGGGACAAAGGUAUGCUAAAUUUCUUUUCAAAAAUAUACAAAAAGUCAAAGUAACAGGAUUGAAAGGAAGAAAGGAUCUCUACUCUUGACCAUCUAUUUCCCUGACUACGGUUGUCGACGAAAGCUGGUCGGCAGUCUACCUUGGGGUAUACCCACGGUAGUAGUUUAUCGGUAGACGGUGCGCAAACUACGAACUCGAUGGUGACGCAAGAUACGGACAAGCUUUUUAUCUAGGUUCGGCCGCCGAGUUGGCGUAAUACCUACGUCCUGCGUCUGGUUGUAUUGGAUUGUGUUCAGAGAUAAUCUGUAUGCUCUGUCCUCUAGGGGACCCCUGCCCCUCCUUAUAUAUCCUGAAGGGACAGAGUUACAAGCGAAGUAUCCUAUUUGGUACAAUAUCUUGUAGCCUUGCGGUGCACGCCGAUCAGUCGUGCGCCGCAUGUCUUCAUCCUGUGGGUUGAGCCACCUCUGAUGGUGCGGCCCAUAUAGGCCCAUGAGGGUAUAGGGGUUUAUACCCCCACAGCUAGUCCCCGAGCACCAUGUAUUGUGAUGUAACACGCCGUCUUGAGCUUCUUCGAUCAGUGAGGCUUGACGUCUUCAAUAAGUAGGAAAGUCGCCCAAACAGUUGCAACGGUAUUUUGACCAACUCAAAAGACAGUUGAUCAACAUUGACAUCGAAGAAGCAGGUUGUUCGAAGAAUGCAUGGUGCUCUUAAUUAAAAAAGAUUUCUUUCCUGGUGAAGUGUGCCCACUUUACUUUUCUGAAAAGUAUAGACCUCAAAAAAGCAAGCAUAUUCACCGCAAGGUGAAGUGUGCCCACUUAGUCCCCGAGCCUGGUAGUAGGUGACGUAGGCACGUGGUGCCAGGGUCAAAAUAAAAGUCCUCAAAGAAAUUCUGUAACUGAGAUGCAUCGCCAGAUGCAUCGUACCGAUGUAGUCCCCGAGCUUGCUGGAAGGCGAAGUAUGAGCCUUGUAGCAAGGUCUAAAAAAUUGAAUUUACCAGUCCCCGAGCAUAUCAUGCUCGUCUGCAAUUGAAUAGACUAAUCGACCAGUCCCCGGGUGUACAAAAGUAUGACAACCAGGCCCCAAGCACCAAGCGCACUCCUUAGAAUUCUGAGUUGCUAUAUUGGGCGACCAGUCCCCGGGCAUCGAGCGUUCAGUGGUCGCCGGAAUUUUCGAAGUUCCGGGCUGAUAGACUGGGCGACCAGUCCCCGAGCAUCAAGUGCUCGGUGGUCGGUGCAGUCCUUCACAUCCGAGUUAAUAGACUGGGCGACCAGUCCCCGAGCAUCAAGUGCUCGGUGGUCGGUGCAGUCCCCAAGUUCUUAAAUUGGUGAGGUGGUCGACCAGUCCCCGAGCGUAUAGUGCUCGGUGGUCGGCACAGUCCCCGAGCACGGCGUAGGGACCGGUGGACAAGUCCCCGAGCGUGGUUGGGAACGUAAACGUGCUCGGUGGUCGGCACAGUCUUCGAGCACAGCAUAGAGAGUAGUCGACAAGUCCCCGAGCGUGGUUGGGAACGUAAACGUGCUCGGUGGUCGGAGCAGUCCCCGGGCACAGCGUAGGGAAUAGUCGACGAGUCCCCGAGCGUAGCUUGUCGACUGGGCCAAACCCCUGAAAAAUAAAUAUAAAGAAUAGGUAGUACAUGAUGUAUAAAUAAACUUUAGAUAAAAAUCAGUACUGAGAUAAGUUUUAGAUUUUUUGUUAUAAAAUUAGCACAAGUAGUUAAUUCAUCCUAGAGCUUGUACCAGCUCUGGUCUAGCCAACAAUCAGCAUGAGGUGCGGAACCUAGACACGCGUGGGAUUGCCAGCCUCGCCAGAGAGCUACUGCCGACCACCCGGAACGCAGAGGGUGGAUCUCGUGCACGUGUAGGGAGGAGUCGGAGACAGUACCGGCUCUGGAAAGCUCGUGUAGGAGAAAAAACUAGUGUGGCUAAACAAAAAGUUGUUUUUGAAGGAUAAUAAAAAAUAUUAUGCCAAAAAUAAAUAAGAUAUUAGAAGUGUACUUAUCUUUGGAUGAAAGUCUGGUCGGUGACGACAAAAUUGUUUAGCCCUCGAGCUUUUGGACUUGUUAUCGUGACGGUGGUCGCGGUUGUCGUAGCGCCGUUCUUCGCGGCGAUUAUUAUUGCGACUCGUGGUCAGAGCAAGUAGGCCAAACAACUUGGUUGAUAGGCUGAGCAGGUCGGUGUCGUCGAUCUGCCUCCCUUUGUAGCAGAGAAGCGGCGACGCGUUGUCGGCGUGGUCGGAGACGCUGCUGGUGUGGUCGAAACCGUAGCCAGCGUGGUUGAAGCCGCCGCCGACGUCGAUGAAGAAGUGGUUGGCGCAGAUCGGAUCAACACCUGCUCCGUGGUCAUGGCGGUGAAGUUGUUGAAGCUGACGGUGAACGUGAAGUCGCCCGCCAUGGCCGCGAAGUCGGGGAUGAUGGCCAUCUUGUUCGUCGGGAGAGCUGUACGCACACCCCCUACCUGGCGCGCCACUGUCGACGAAAGCUGGUCGGCAGUCUACCUUGGGGUAUACCCACGGUAGUAGUUUAUCGGUAGACGGUGCGCAAACUACGAACUCGAUGGUGACGCAAGACACGGACAAGCUUUUUAUCCAGGUUCGGCCGCCGAGUUGGCGUAAUACCUACGUCCUGCGUCUGGUUGUAUUGGAUUGUGUUCAGAGAUAAUCUGUAUGCUCUGUCCUCUAGGGGACCCCUGCCCCUCCUUAUAUAUCCUGAAGGGACAGAGUUACAAGCGAAGUAUCCUAUUUGGUACAAUAUCUUGUAGCCUUGCGGUGCACGCCUAUCAGUCGUGCGCCGCAUGUCUUCAUCCUGUGGGUUGAGCCACCUCUGAUGGUGCGGCCCAUAUAGGCCCAUGAGGGUAUAGGGGUUUAUACCCCCACA
This 4284-nucleotide long non-coding RNA is filed under the name Sorghum bicolor (sorghum). RNAcentral describes it as "long non-coding RNA (SBIC_LNC015913)". Lineage: Eukaryota; Viridiplantae; Streptophyta; Magnoliopsida; Poales; Poaceae. The record is from RNAcentral.